This 601-nucleotide long non-coding RNA is filed under the name Rattus norvegicus (Norway rat). Its description in RNAcentral is "long non-coding RNA NONRATT027379". Lineage: Eukaryota; Metazoa; Chordata; Mammalia; Rodentia; Muridae. The record is from RNAcentral.
CCGAGCAUCCUGUAGUUAAGCACACUCUUUUCCUACAGUCCAGUGGGUGAUCUCUAACUGGGAUAGAGAUCAGUAACAGUAUUGGUAGGGAUAGGUAACAGUAUUGCCUCGUAUCAGUUGUCAAGCUCAGCAUCACUUCAGUUUAAACUUUAAUUUUUUUUAUUUAUUUUUUCAUGUUUUAGGGUUUGGGGGUCUGUUUUGUUUUAUUUUUACUUUUCAAUCUCUGAUUACAGAAAAAAAAUAGCGAAGCUGUCAUAGUAACUGUAAUCAGAGAAACCCCAGACGGCAAGGUAGAUCUGCUCACAAUGGGUCCUGGGCCCCUUCUCAGCAGCUGCACACCUUUAUAAGGGCCAGCUCUCCCUCCACCACCCACUUUCCCUCCCUAGAGCCUGCAGAAUCCAAACCCAAGACUCAGGAGCAGCGUGGUGUGGAGCCCAGCACAGAGGACCUUUCAGCCCACAUGCUACCACUGGAUUCCCAAGGAGCCAGCUUGGUCUGACAGAAGUUGACAUCCGGGGAUCGCCAGUGAGUGUGGAAGUUCAUGGACACUGGAUGUUUCUUAAUCUCUUGUUUUUAAACGUGAUAAAUUUGGUGUUAGGUC